GACGAACGCUGGCGGCGUGCCUAAUACAUGCAAGUUGAGCGCUGAAGGCUGGUACUUGUACCAACUGGAUGAGCAGCGAACGGGUGAGUAACGCGUGUGGAAUCUGCCUUUGAGCGGGGGACAACAUUUGGAAACGAAUGCUAAUACCGCAUAAAAACUUUAAACACAAGGUUUAAGUUUGAAAGAUGCAAUUGCAUCACUCAAAGAUGAUCCCGCGUUGUAUUAGCUAGUUGGUGAGGUAAAGGCUCACCAAGGCGAUGACGGGGAGCCGACCUGAGAGGGGGACCGGCCACAUGGGGAGGGAGAUACGGCCCAGAGUGCGACGGGAGGGAGGAGUGGGGAAUAGUGCACAAUGGGCGGAAGGCGGAAGGAGCAACGCCGCGUGAGGGAUGACGGAUGUGGGGUGGGAAACCGCUUUCGACUGGGAAGAAGCGUGAGUGACGGUAAUGGGGAAAGAAGCACCGGCUAACUACGUG
RNAcentral lists this ribosomal RNA (476 nucleotides) under uncultured bacterium. Its description in RNAcentral is "partial 16S ribosomal RNA". It matches the Rfam family "Bacterial small subunit ribosomal RNA", at positions 28 to 507 of the family's 1533-position model. The record is from RNAcentral.